GGGCGAGUGAAGCGGCAAAAGCUCAAAUUUGAAAUCUGGCUCUUUCAGAGUCCGAGUUGUAAUUUGAAGAAGGUAUCUUUGGGUCUGGCUCUUGUCUAUGUUUCUUGGAACAGAACGUCACAGAGGGUGAGAAUCCCGUGCGAUGAGAUGAUCCAGGCCUAUGUAAAGUUCCUUCGAAGAGUCGAGUUGUUUGGGAAUGCAGCUCUAAGUGGGUGGUAAAUUCCAUCUAAAGCUAAAUAUUGGCGAGAGACCGAUAGCGAACAAGUACAGUGAUGGAAAGAUGAAAAGAACUUUGAAAAGAGAGUGAAAAAGUACGUGAAAUUGUUGAAAGGGAAGGGCUUGAGAUCAGACUUGGUAUUUUGUAUGUUACUUCUUCGGGGGUGGCCUCUACAGUUUAUCGGGCCAGCAUCAGUUUGGGCGGUAGGAGAAUUGCGUUGGAAUGUGGCACGGCUUCGGUUGUGUGUUAUAGCCUUCGUCGAUACUGCCAGCCUAGACUGAGGACUGCGGUUUAUACCUAGGAUGUUGGCAUAAUGAUCUUAAGUCGCCCGUCUUGACCCACCGAACCAAA
This 568-nucleotide unclassified non-coding RNA is filed under the name Candida tropicalis. RNAcentral describes it as "sequence contains 28S rRNA gene". It matches the Rfam family "Eukaryotic large subunit ribosomal RNA", at positions 87 to 670 of the family's 3401-position model. Lineage: Eukaryota; Fungi; Ascomycota; Pichiomycetes; Serinales; Debaryomycetaceae. The record is from RNAcentral.